UCCUGCCUCAGCCUCGCGAGUGCAGGAAUUACAGGUGUGUGCCACCAUGCCCGGCUGUGGCAUCUUAUUUUGACGAGGCAAUGAGCAAAUGCGUUCAUGCUUCUCUGAGGAGGUCGCAUUGGAGCUAAGACCCAAGCCUUGCCCUGUGGUGGGUAUCUCUGGCUGUUGGCCCAUUAAAACGUCAAUCAAUUUUGCUUCAAGAGGCCCCAGCAGAGGGACCGACCUGUGGGAUGUCAACUCCAGGACAGGAAGAGGCACUCUUGGCUUCACAGCUCUAUUCCCAACAUCCAGAAUAUCGCGUGGCACACAUUCACAUUCAGGAAAUAUUUGUUGAAUGAAUAAAUGUGAAACAGGAACCAGUGACAGAAUUAGCCCAUAGUCCAGGCACCAGCCAAGCUGCUUUCAGGAUCCGCGAUGUGAAUUUGAGUCCCGCCACCAGUAGAGGGAGCCCCUGCGCCCACCCACAAGCCAACCUGAGCCGUGAGCUACGUCAAACCUAUAUUUAGCAGAUGGAGAAUCCGAGGCUGUAGGGAGAAAGCACCUGGCCAAAGGCUGUAAACCAAUGGACAAGCGUGACUGGCGCCCCCUCGUGGCCAGGAAGUAUGAGCUCAGCCUUUCGAGUUUGCAUCUGAAAAAAGCCAGACACAGGGAGAAGACCGCCAUCUACAAGACAAGGGACACAGGACGCUACCAGAAGGAGGAGGAAGCGAAGAAGGGAUCCUCCUAGAGCUGUGGCCGGGGGCAGGCUGACAGUGAUUUCGAACAAGGAGAACAAGAUCUGGCGGCUUCGGGGUGGCAUGGCGUAGACUCAGGCCUGCAGGACUACGGGAUGAUGCGGUUCUGUGGCCCCCAGCUCCCCUCAUCGCGGGAUCGGUUACAGCGGCCCUAAGAAAUCACUGUCGAGACCUCGGAGUGGGGUGGCAUGGAGUCUUCACCCGGCAAGAAAGGUGAUCCUAAUGAACUUAUCCGGGGGCCGCGAGCACACUCUGGAUGUCGAGAGAUCAGAACAUCAGAUUGGAGCGAAGCGCGAAUCUGGGUUUGAACCUCAGCAUUAGCACCGCAAACGACCCAGCGUCUCCAAGACCCCGUCUGUGGAGUGGAAACAGCGGUGACAUCUGUCAGGAAGGACUGCUGCGAAUGUUCCGCAAAAGAACAUUUGUCUGGCAGUCGGCAGGGGCUGGAUGAACGGUGGCUACUGUUUUCUCUCCUGUGGGAUGUGCUGUACUCAAAGAGGAUCUCCUUCCAGAUCCAAUGAAUCGGCUAAUCUGCGAGUGUAUUCCCGAGACUUCAGCCGGGAAAACCAGGCACCCGAAUAGAGGCGCUCAUACAGGAGUUGUCCUGUAGGCAGCACAAAGCCAGCUAAGGAGAGCAGACCUGAGAGGAGGAACCCGCACAGAGACCAACAGCAGGCGAAGCCAGGCGAGCCUGGGGCAGGAACAGCCAGGGGCUGGCGUCUCUCAGGCCGCUGGGGUGCGAGGAGGUGGAGAAAUGCCCUGGUUGCUCCCGCCCACCUGCCAUCCCCUACGUCCCAUUGGCUGAGUUGCACAGAAAGUCACCUGAUUGGCCAGUCACAGGGGGCGGCUUCCCUAUAUCUAGACUGAGUCAAGGGCCACAUUGGAGGGCAAAGAGGGCCAGCCCCAGUGCUGCAGGAUGUGUGCUGUUUACUCUCUGGAGCCUCACAGUCCCACCUAGAAGGCUGGCACAAUAAUAGCAUCUAAUCAUAGAGUCAUUGAGUCCCCGACAGCCGGUGGACAGUAUGGAUGUGAAGGAAGAUUUGUGUAGAUACGGUGUGCAGGGCAAAAGAGGACAAGGGCGCAGGAAUAGGCUCAGUGUGGGUGCGGAACCUGUGUGUGUGAUAUUUUUAUCACAGAGACGCAUCCCUCUGUCCUGUCUCCGGGCUAAGACGGUGAGUCUGUGGCCUCCUUUUAGAAGCCCUGAGUCAGGCUGGCCACUCGGCAUUCAGGGUAGCUGGAAGUUUGGUCUCUGCUCCCACAGAAGUGUUUCAAAUCAUGCAGUUUUAGCAUCUCUGCCUCCAAUUACUGCUGCCAAACUUCCCUCACUUCCCCCAGCCUGGGGCUGAGCCAUUUCCAGGAUCUCUCUUUGUAUAAUUAAAAAGAAAAAUAGAACAGCUGAUGUUGCCAAACAUGUAUUUAAAGUGACACUCGAGUUCAGGGAGUGAAAAAUAAAAACGUUUAAGGUUUAGAUUAAAAGUC
Long non-coding RNA from Fukomys damarensis (Damara mole-rat), 2213 nucleotides. RefSeq lists it as uncharacterized. The record is from RefSeq and is a predicted model, not a curated record. Lineage: Eukaryota; Metazoa; Chordata; Mammalia; Rodentia; Bathyergidae. The transcript has 3 exons.